This 474-nucleotide ribosomal RNA is filed under the name uncultured bacterium. RNAcentral describes it as "partial 16S ribosomal RNA". It matches the Rfam family "Bacterial small subunit ribosomal RNA", at positions 28 to 523 of the family's 1533-position model. The record is from RNAcentral.
GAUGAACGCUGGCGGCGUGCCUAAAACAUGCAAGUCGAACGAAUAUGUAGCAGUACAUGUUAGUGGCGAACGGGUGAGUAACGCGUUGGUGACCUGCCCCGAAGUGUGGGAUAACAGUUCGAAAGAACUGCUAAUACCGCAUGUGGUCCCCGGGUUUAGAAACCGGUGACUAAAGGAGUACUUCGCUUCGGGAUGGACCUGCGUCCCAUCAGCUAGUUGGUAGGGUAACGGCCUACCAAGGCAUUGACGGGUAAGGGACCUGAGAGGGUGGUCCCUCACAAUGGCACUGAAACACGGGCCAGACACCUACGGGUGGCAGCAGUAGGGAAUAUUGGGCAAUGGGCGAAAGCCUGACCCAGCAACGCCGCGUGUGUGACGAAGGUCUUCGGAUCGUAAAACACUUUUCUGGGAGAUGAGAAAGGACAGUAUCCCAGGAAUAAGCCUCGGCUAACUACGUGCCAGCAGCCGCGGUAA